Molecule: long non-coding RNA, 9310 nt
Filed under: Marmota monax (woodchuck)
Lineage: Eukaryota; Metazoa; Chordata; Mammalia; Rodentia; Sciuridae
Source: RNAcentral
CAGGCCUUAGGCUGGGCGCUGGAAGCGUCAUGGUAGCUAAGGCACAGCAACGCCCUCCCAGGAAGGGAGCAGGCUGGUGGGCAGGCAGGUGGGGAGGAGGCACCCUGCACAGGUGCUCCCCUGGGCCGGCUGCUCAGGGAGCGUUGCAUAGCCUUGGUAAGUCCCUGGGCCAGACUCACUUGAGCUGGGCCUGACGAGGGGUGGGGAGGAGGCAGCUGGAGAAUGUAGCCUGUGGGGAGGCAAGAGGCAGAGACACCGGGACACCUGGGCUACUGCCAAGAGUCCAGCGUGUCUGGAGUAUGGAGUGAGGGGUGAGCAAGACGGAGGCCAAUGUGGAACCAAGGCAGCCUCCAGGAAGGCCCCAGAGGCCAGGCUGAGAGCUUACCUCAGCACAGGACACUGGGGGCUGUGGGGUGGCCUCAAGCUUCAGCAGAAGUGGUGGGUCUGAGUUUUAACAGAUCACUCAGUGUGGAGAACUGGAUGGAAGGAGAAAAGCCUGGAGCAAAAUGACCAGUGAGAGGGCUGGUGCAGUGCCCUGGGCCUGUGAGAGGUGGCCCGUGCCGGUGGAGACCAGUAGGAGAGGCAGAGAUGCUGCAGGCGCUGGAUCUGCAGAACACAGCUCAGCAACCAGCAGGGUCUUGAGCUGGAAACAGAGUCACAGUGGCCACUCGUGGAGGUGAAGAAAGAGGAGCAACAGCUCGUGGGAAUGCGGUGAGUGUGGUUGGAGAGCAAGGCCUGGGCCAUCCAGACUAGGUCAGCAGCCCAGGGCCUGCAAAGAGCAGGGCUGAGGACACACACUGUCAUCGCAGCCAGGGCACAGAAGAGAGGGCAGACAGGUGGAAGGCAAUGUGACAACAUGCAGCGAGGCCCACACAGGUAACCACGGCACAGGCUCAAGAAGACAGGACUGUGAUCUCUGGGCUUAGGCAGCAAGGUCUCGGUGACACAGGAAGUGUAGGCUUGAAAGUGGCAUGUUGGGUGAGAAGCCAGCAUAAGGGAGUGUGGAGGAGCCCAGGUGACAGUGCUGGCGCCACUGGGUGCGCAGAGGAGAGCUGGGACUGCACAGUAAGGAAGGAAGGGACCCAAAGACAUGUGCCUGGAGCACCCUGGGUGAUUGGUAAGGGCAGGGGCGCACACGGAGAAAAGUGGAAAUCAUUUAAAAUUUGAGUUCCAGAACUGGGAGGCAGUGUUAGCCUGGUGGACUUUUUCACUCUGAUGAAAACCAGGCUGGGUACAAGGCACUAUGCCAGUGCCCACCUUGCGGAGUGACCAGAACCUCCUUUGCUUUCAUUCCUCAGCGCCUGGAUGCUGGGUGUCACCACAAGCACAUGGUUGAUGUUGGGACACAUUACAUCUCUCACACAGCCAGUAAGUAGCCUCUGCUCAGGUGGCUCAGCCCCUCCAAGUCCACACUCCUCCCCAGGACUGACCUCUGGGCUGUCUUUACUCCUAGGCAGUGGGCUUCUGGGAGAAUGGGCUUGGAAUAUGGGUAUAGACAGGGCCAGAAGUUGAGGAAAGGAGGCAAAGGUCCAAAGUCUGGUCACUCUGAGGAAGAAGAUGUGGGAGGGAGUCAGGGUGAGCUGUACCUGAUACAGGGGACGCUUGGGGUAAAGGGAGACAGGGAAUGGUAACACGGAGACCAGGAGGCCCCAAAGCACUGGAUAAGGGAAGCGAGCCUGGCAAAGUGGGAGGAGCAGGAGAGGAGCUGCCUGGGUGGCCACCCCAGCACCAUCAACAGGGAGGCCUGGGGUUGCCCUGUGGUCAGACCUGAGGGCCUGGAUGGUGAGCAGAGCUGACUGUCCCUCUUGCUGGGCUCCAUGCACACCUGUCCAGCCACUCCUAGGAACUUCCACCCACUGUGACCCACUGAAGCGGUUCUUCCCUAGGCCUCCCUGUCUCAGUAGCUAAUUCUACUUUCCACCCUCUGCUCUGGCCUAGAUGUCAGUCUCAAAUCCUCAUUUCUGCUCGCCCCAGGCAAUAGUGAUCAAUUGCCACACAGCAAUGUUGCUGGAAUCUUAGUGGCCUGAAGCGCUAGUGGCCCCAGUGACUGAGGGCUGGGUGCACACAGUGUCUCUCACAGGCUGCUGCCCAGCAGAGGUGCAGCUGAGGCUGGGCUGAGCAGGACACCAUUCCCUAUAGGUUACUAGGCUAGGAGCAUCAGCUCAUUGCUGGCUACUGGACAGGUGCUGCUCCCUGUCACACGGCCAUCGGCUUCCUCAAAACCCCAAGGUGAAAGCCAGUGAAGUCUGCCAGCCAGAAGGAAGGCACAAUCUCACAUGAACACCCAAAUCCCCAUUCCAUCAUGUUCCCUUAUCCUGGCAGAAACAAGUCUCAGCCCAUCCACACUCUAGAGAGGGGCUACACAGGGCAAAAAUAAUGUCAGGAGGUGGGGUAUGCAGGAGCCACCAGAAAGUCUGCCCAACAUACCCCAUCACAGUUCAUUGGUGAUCCUGUGGACCCCACCUCCAAAGUGCCCCCUGCAGCUGCCCAUCCACCCUGGAGCCAGGGACCAUCUCUCAUUGGGCCACCCUGGUCUCCCUGGUCCUUUCUUCUUCAAUGUCCAUGCUACACAUGGGAGAUGAUGGAGUUCUCUGUGCCAUGAAAACCUUCCCCAAAGUUCUCACUGAUGACCAAGUGAAGUAACAACUCAUCAAGACCCUACCCAACCUGGCCUGCUCACCCCUCUGACUUCAUCUCAUCUCUGGCCACUGAUUGACAUGCUCAGACAUUGAUGCUUAUGUUCCUUAGACUCCUUGAGUUUGUUCCUGCGGUUUGGUGUUUAUACUUAACUUUCUCUCUGUCUGGAAUGUCCUUCCCCAGUUUUGCAUAGAACAUCUUCUGUCCUUCAGACCCAGCACUAGCCUUGCCUCCUUGGAGAGGCUUGCCCCUCUGGGAGGACAGCCCCAGGCUUGACCCCAUCACUCUCAGGCCAUUCCAGUGCAUCUCCCAGGGUUCCCAUGAAGGCCCCUCUGGCUCACUGCCAUGCUGGAUUGUCACUAUCUGUGAUUCACUAGUGUUCAGGCUCCCUGAGGACACCCCCACCCCCACUGGUUGUUUUCCAUGCUCUUCCCGUUGCCUAGAAGCAGACCUGAUGGGCAACGGAUCCUGCCAACUAUUGCUGAACAAAUUAGUCAGUUAAUGGCCCAGGAAUCAACUUAAUACACAGAGUUACAUGUCCUCUGCUGCCUGCAGAUGACUGCAUGACUCUAGUCAGAAAACCAGGGCCCUUUUCAUUGACUUUGGUGUGGUAUAAAUCUGGCCAGAGGAAGUUUCUGCAUCCAUUAUUUUAGGAAGCUUCUUAUAGCCCAUUGAUUGACAGUUAUUUACCCCCAUGUGUCCCCAAGUUCAUUUGAUAGUGGAUAGUAUCCCUGGGACAGCAAUACCUGCACGGAUGACACUUGGUCAGGGUUUUCACAGAGCCUGUUAAUGGUGUGCACAAGGAGAGCACACCACCUCCUGCAGAGCCAACAGAGAGGCACGGUGUUUCCAGGCCCAGCUGCUCUGAGGCAGCACAAAGGGCCUCGCCUGUCACAGGCAUGAGUUUCCUGUAAGAACAUAAAGAUCUAUACCAAGUGACAAUGAAAGCAACUGGGGAAAAACAAGGGUGUUCAGGAGUGUCAUGGAGGCGAAGGAAAUUGGAAACAUUCCAAGUUGCUCUUUGGGUUCAUUGUGCUUCUCACUGAGGAGGCCCAUGAUUGGCAUCCGUUAAACACAUCUUUGUGUGGGGGAGCCCCAUCUUACUCAUUUCAGAUUUUCCCACCUCCCGUGGGCACCAGUUUGCUCAAGGCUUUUUCUGAAGCGAGUGUGUGUCCUAGGCAGCUUUAGUGGGGAGAGAGGCGCCUGCUCUGAUUCCUCAGGUUUGGCCCUGUCUUGUCCUGGUCCUCAAGCCAGUAAUUACACGGAAAGGACAGGAAGGUACAAAGGCAAAGCCAAGGAGCCCUGGCUCUGAGGACAGUCCGUGGAGGUUGGCCAGGAAACGAAGCUCCAAUAGAGUCCAGCAGAGGGAAUUAACCUAGAAUGUGGUGGGAAGGCCCCCAGAGAGCUGGGCCGCCUACAGCAGGCAGUGGAAGACCACAGAGGUCAGCGGCUGCAGCGGGCCACCACCGAGGCAGAGGGGUGUUAAGGGCUGAGCUGGAUUCCCCAGAGACAGGUUGAAGUCCUAAUUCCCAGUGCCUCAGAAUGGGGCCUAUUUGGAGGUAAGAUCAUUGUAAAUGUAACUGGGUGAGUUCAAAGGAGACCACCCUGGAGUAGUGGCUGCUGAUCCAACAUGGCUAAUGUCCUAUGGAAAGGGGAAGACAUGGGAAGAGAGUCAGGUGAAGACCAAGACAGGAAUGAGAAGGGUCCAUGGCAGACCCAGGGACAGCAGAAAUUGUGGCCAUGCCAGCAUCCUGGAAAGGUAAGGCCAGAGUCCCAAGGGACCAUAGCCCUGCAAACAACUCAAUUUGGGACUUUUAACCAGAACGCUGACAAAGUAAAUUCCUGUUGUUAGAGGCUCUCUAGGAAACGGAUGUCGACGGCACACCCAGAACCCACACUGGAUAAUAGGGAUUUAUAUGUGGGCCAGACAGAGGCUGGGACCACAGGGACAGCCUGUCUGUUAGGGUCUGGGAGUAUGGAGUGGCCAUCAGGCGGGCGAGGGCCAGGAGGGGAGGCAGGACCACCUCUCUCCCUUCCAUCCUCCUGGCUCCUGCCAGGGCCUCUUUUUCUCUGAGCCUGGUUGGAAACCGGUUGGCAGGAGAGCCUGAGAAAAAGUAGUUCUCAGGGGCAGGGGAUGGACAGGACUGUGCUCUAAGACAAUCCUGGCCCGGAGGGCGGUCACCUAGACUGCUAUGUGCAGACCACAUUCUCACUAAGCCAAGGCUGCAAGGACAGGGCCUCCAGCUCCACAGCCCCCGCAAAGUGGAAGCCGUGAGUGUCUGAAGUGAGAAGCCCACAUGCAAAGGCAAGACGUUAAAACCCACUGUUGUUUGAUUAUUAAAGUAUUCAUCAAAUGACCUAGAGCCAAGAAACCACCCGGAGCAAAUUUGGGACAAUUUCACACAUUUGGAUCUGGGACAAAAAAUAUCACUUUUUAUCCCUCAUUUUCAUGAAGAGGACUUGCAACAGAAGUGUUCAGGAUUGCUAGGAAACAGUGGAGAGGAAACAUAGGGCUGAAGACCUACAGGAAUUUAAAAAUAGGAAAGUGAGAGAUUGAGAUUGUGCCCAGUCAAAUCUUCAACCAAAAUCAGGAAGAAAGUGAAUGGGGACUGGAGAGGUCUUUGGGUCACGACCCCAGGUCACGCCCCUGCAACUGACCCCCCCACCUCAAAAGCUAAAUCAGUGUUUUUGCAAAGAUUUGAAACACUUGUGGACCAAAAUAAACUAGGGUCCUUAGAAUUAAAACCCCCAUCAUUCUUUAAGCCAAAUUUGGUCAUGAAUCUGAGCUGAAGUAUUCUUUCAUUUAGAACAGAAAAUAAAUAUGCAUAAACUUAUGUGUAAUACACUUUAUGUUUAUACACAUUUGUUAUUCAUGAUAAAAGAAGGCGUACAGUUCCACUUGCAGGAGACAACCCUCUUGGAACUCACAGUUUCUCAGGUUAGUCCUUGCACAGAGGGUGGUCCACUGUCUUCAACCAAGAUGUUAUUUGGACUGCUAAUAAAAAGAGGGAUUACAUUAAAUUUGUCAAAAAUUACAUUCUGCAAAAGAGCGAGGUGGCAUGGUCUUUGCUUUCCAACAUUUUGAAUUAGUUCAGAAACAGAAUCGAGAAACCAUAUGCCCAGCAAGCUGCAGUGACCUCGGCAGGCACAAGUACUCACAGGGAGCCUUGGGCAAAUUCACGGUCAUUGCACUCACAGGAUAAUCACGGGGCCUUGCUGAUAGAAGCAGGGUCUGUAGGUUUCUGUCAGUGUGAUAUUCAGUGUGAGAGGUUGAGAUUGUCUAACAAGCCCACCAAUGCUGAACACAAGCUGCAAAGAUUGUGAAAUGAUAGACAAAUCAGUAGUUAGUGGCUGGAAUGUCAAGUCCGAGAUGUUGCAUUGACAUGCAAUCAAAGACCACAAAUGAGGCCAGGGGUCUGCAGUGAAGAGGCACCAGCCUCUGGGAUUUGCACAGAAGGGAGCACAGAGCCCUGUGUUGAUCAGAGCAGGAAGUAUUUAAAAACUGCAUGGAGUUUUGAGAGAGUUCACUGCAGUUAGAACCCACUGAAUUGCCAUGUCCAGAGUCCUAGGUUGUGGCCUCCAACUCCCAGCCACCCUAGACUGCCCCUCUGGUGAGUUCUGCAUUCCCCAAACACAGGAAGCAUCCUCAGCUCUCUGAGGUAACCUUCCUAGGAUGCAGUGACCCCUCUGCCAUUGUGAGGCCUUUGUUCUGGCCUUUCAAGACAGCCAGGCCAGGUCAAGGGCAGGUGGAUUUAGAAAGGUCUUGGGGAGUCUCCAGGGGACAGAGGCCUUUGAUGAAGGUGGUUACUGUGAGAAGCAGAAAAUGAUUUGUGGUAUCACCCAGUAAACCUCAAAAGUUGCUGGAGAUCAUUAAUCAUAGCAAGGUGGGUACAUGCCAUGCCCACUUUAGAACCGUGGGUGCUUCCAGCAGGCCAGAUGGAGCCCAGAAAUUCCAUCCUGACACUCCCAGAUAAAUGCUUUUUAGGUCCGGGUUUGGUGGUGAAGCUGCAAACAUGAUCAGAGUCUCAUGGGAUAUCAGAAUGAGGAAAGUAGUUCAAGUAAACAUCUGUCUUGAAUCUUUUUAGCAUCGCAGACCUCUUUGAAUGUAUGAUGAACACUGCAGAUUUUGCCUCUGGAAAAUAAAAAUCCCACACAGAGAAACACACAAUUGGAAGGAGGCUGAAGAAUCCCUGCGAGUCAUGGACCCUUUAGGGGCUGAUGGGUUCCUGAACCAGAACCUCCUGGAUCAGGAGGUCUUAUAGACACAGUUCAACACACACUGGAAGAUGAGCAGGGCUUCUGAGGACAGAAGCAACUUCCAGGGUAUCCUGGGAUGAGCAGCUCACAGUGUCUGCUCCUAGGGAGCUGCUCCCGGGCUCACAGAUCAGCAGAAGAGGGUAGUUGCUGUGGACAGGUGUGUGGGAAAAACCUACCCCUUUUCCUUUAGAGGAAAUCUCAGCGACUCCAGGAUGUGGUGGGAAGAGAGAAGAGAGGGCCCCUCCUGACACACUUGCUAUAAGUGGAAAGGCAUUCCGUGCCCCUGACCCACCAAACUCCCCGCUCAGCCUCGCCUGCCUUCAACCUGCUGAGAACGCUCACGCAGGCUAUGGUGCACACAAAUGCCCGCACAGAGCCCCGUUUGUAGGAAGUGUUGAACAUGCUGCGUACACACAGGUGGGCAUCUGCACACAUGGGGGCAUGUGGAAAUAAAGUACAAGAUCCAAAAUGCCACUCCCAGUGACUGUGGAGUGUUGCUGUUCCCCUGGUGAUCACAGGGCUGGCCGUGGGCAGUGACCCCUGUGGCUGCCCAGCAUUGAGAGGGCAUCGUACAGUGCACAUCGUCAGCUUGGGGAAAGACCAAGGUCUAAGAUUCAAAGCAGGGUUCCCAUGGAACCAAGAGUAUUGUUUUUACACCCCUACACAGCGGAAAACUGUGGUCAGUGGGGACUUAUCCCUGCAUUUAUGGAGGACCUGUGCUUCAGUAUGAUGAGGAUACUCCUGGCAGGAAUUGGAACUCAAGUUCUCUUGCUCCCAGGAGGUCCUCCCUCACUCUGAAAACAUUAGCCAGCAGGAUAUUCUUGCCAGGACCCAAGGCACAGUGGUGGGGACCCAGGAGAUGUUGCUGGCAAAGCACAAAGUGAAGCUAGAAGGCCAGGGGCUUCCUGCGAUGGUCCAACCCUGGGCUUGGCAAUCAGGGCAGUUUUGGACACCCAGGAGAAGCCAAGAAGUGAAGUGCAAGCCCAUAGGAAGUAGGGACCUUGCAGAGGAAAGAGGCCUUUCAGAGAGACAGGGCCCUGCCUGUGACAGGAGCAGCCAGAGCCCCAGCCUGCGUUAUCAGUGGAAGAACAGAAGGUGCCAGGGAGAUCCUGAGCUGGCACAAGCCAGGAGGGCCAGAGAAAGUGACCAAGGGUCAGGCUGAAACCCUCAGGGCAGCCCACACCACAGGCUUGACCAUGGAUGGCUCAGCCACUGUGGUCUCCCUUCUGACUGGCAUUCAGGUAAACCCAAUGGCCACUGCUCUGUGUUUCCAAGGAAGGCUCAGUUACUGGCAUAUUUUGUGGGAUUUUGGUUUUUCCAUCCUCCAAGGGCCACAUGGAACAAAAGCCACAUCACCUGGAUUCUCACUCCAGCCUGGAUGUGAGCACUUUCCCACACAGGCGUGAAGCAAAGCAAUAUGGGUUUUAUUGAACUUUGGGACAGCUAGUUAAUUAAAAAACAAAAACAGUUCACAUUGCCCUUUAUAAAUGAGAAAAUGGAAAUAGUCCCCAGGGGAAUUAGGAUUAUGCGUUUUGAUGACUUUAGGACAUGGGAAGUCUGGUUUUGUGUGGGUCAGUGGUUCAGGUGAGCAUCUAGCACAGAGUUUGACCUCGUGAAGAAGGGGGGCAGAAGAUCUUCAUCUGUGUUAUUAAUGAAAUGAAUGCAGAGCCCUUUUCUCACGCCAAGCCCUGCAGAGUAAGUACAGAACUGCACGGUCCUCCUUCCUCUUAGUCUGGGAAGCCAGGAAGACAUUACUUGAGAAUCCACUCAGGGCUUUGGAGACCGGAAGAGUAACAGGAUGCAAUACGGGUGGAGCAUUGGCCACAACAGGCAAGGCUGGGGUUGUUGAGAGGGUGGAAGAAAGGUUUCCUGCACAAAACCCAACACCGUUCUGUUUCACUGCUCUCCUGAGACCCUUCCUGGAACACAAGGCACAUCUGUGCCUGGAAGCAGGCAACAGCUCUGAAGGCUGCAGGGCCUAGAUUCACUGGAGCCUGGGGAGGAAAGAGGAGGGAGGUGGCCCUACCAACACACAUGUUCGGUCCUGCAGGGUGGCCCAGGAGUAGCCAUAAAACACACACCUGCAAAGUACAAGUGGCACAGCCCAUGUCCCCUCUCUCCCCACAGAUCACUGUCUCGCUAUGACAGCAGGUCUUUCUGAGGCACUCCAGGGCCACAUCUCCAAGCCUCCUGCCUAGCCUAGGAACACCGCCUGCUGAGCACUGAUGGUUCACCUUGGGGGCUGGAGACAUCCAGAGGCAAGAUCUCCAGAGCCUGAGAGUGUGAGGAAGCACUCUCAGGAACCCAAGGUUUAAAGAAAUCUCAUUGUUUGGCGCACACAUUCAGUAGAGCAACUUGGAGUAUGUCCUGUACGUCAGGCAUUGCACCAAGGGCAGGAGCACUUGAGGGGCCACGG